This 1434-nucleotide ribosomal RNA is filed under the name uncultured marine bacterium. RNAcentral's name for it is "partial 16S ribosomal RNA". It matches the Rfam family "Bacterial small subunit ribosomal RNA". The record is from RNAcentral.
GAGUUUGAUCAUGGCUCAGAACGUACGCUGGCGGCACGCCUAACAUAUGCAAGUCGAACGCAGUAGCAAUACUGAGUGGCAAACGGGUGAGUAUAAUGUGGGAAUCUGCCUUUUGGUUUGGAAUAACACGGGGAAACUUGUGCUAAUACCGAAUAAGCCCUUACGGGGAAAGUUUUAAUGCCGAAAGAUGAGCCCGCACUUGAUUAGCUAGUUGGUAAGGUAAAAGCUUACCAAGGCCACGAUCAAUAGCUGUUCUUAGAGGAAGACCAGCCACAUUGGGACUGAGACACGGCCCAGACUCCUACGGGAGGCAGCAGUGGGGAAUCUUGCACAAUGGAGGAAACUCUGAUGCAGCGAUGCCGCGUGAGUGAAGAAGGCCCUUGGGUUGUAAAGCUCUUUCGUCGGGGAAGAAAAUGACUGUACCCGAAUAAGAAGGUCCGGCUAACUUCGUGCCAGCAGCCGCGGUAAUACGAAGGGACCUAGCGUAGUUCGGAAUUACUGGGCUUAAAGAGUUCGUAGGUGGUUGAAAAAGUUAGUGGUGAAAUCCCAGAGCUUAACUCUGGAACUGCCAUUAAAACUUUUCAGCUAGAGUAUGAUAGAGGAAAGCAGAAUUUCUAGUGUAGAGGUGAAAUUCGUAGAUAUUAGAAAGAAUACCAAUUGUGAAGGCAGCUUUCUGGAUCAUUACUGACACUGAGGAACGAAAGCAUGGGUAGCGAAGAGGAUUAGAUACCCUCGUAGUCCAUGCCGUAAACGAUGUGUGUUAGACGUUGGAAAUUUAUUUUCAGUGUCGCAGGGAAACCGAUAAACACACCGCCUGGGGAGUACGACCGCAAGGUUAAAACUCAAAUGAAUUGACGGGGACCCGCACAAGUAGUGGAGCAUGUGGUUUAAUUCGAAGAUACGCGCAGAACCUUACCAACACUUGACAUGUUCGUCGCGACUCUAAGAGAUUAGAGUUUUCGGUUCGGCCGGACGAAACACAGGUGCUGCAUGGCUGUCGUCAGCUCGUGUCGUGAGAUGUUGGGUUAAGUCCCGCAACGAGCGCAACCCUCACUUUUAGUUGCCAUCAUUAAGUUGGGCACUCUGAAAGAACUGCCAGUGAUAAGCUGGAGGAAGGUGGGGAUGACGUCAAGUCCUCAUGGCCCUUACGUGUUGGGCUACACACGUGCUACAAUGGUAUCUACAACAGGAAGCAAGACUGCGAAGUUAAGCAAAUCCCUAAAAGAUACCUCAGUUCGGAUUGCACUCUGCAACUCGAGUGCAUGAAGCUGGAAUUACUAGUAAUCGUGGAUCAGCGUGCCACGGUGAAUGCGUUCCCGGGUCUUGUACACACCGCCCGUCACACCAUGGGAGUUGGUUCUACCUUAAGGCAAGGUUUCAAACCCUUGACCACGGUAUAGUCAGCGACUGGGGUGAAGUCGUAACAAGGUAACC